AUAUCCGUUGCCGAGAGUCGUUUUGAAUAAUUCGUAAAGCGCCGACGUCGGGGGCACACCGUGUCCGGGGCCUCCAGCGUGGCUCUCUUGGUUAGAUUUCCUUGGCGCGUUCCGCGCUGGGGUUCGGUUUGCAGGCAGGUCUCCCCGCCCGCAGGGGGGGCGAGGGGGCGACGAGCGCCCCCCGUCGGUUGUAACCAAUUCGCGGGUCGUUCUGCUGUGCAGGUUUCGACAAUGAUCCUUCCGCAGGUUCACCUACGGAAUCGAAUUCCCGCUGCCACA
RNAcentral lists this ribosomal RNA (279 nucleotides) under uncultured fungus. RNAcentral describes it as "partial 18S ribosomal RNA". The record is from RNAcentral. Lineage: Eukaryota; Fungi.